Molecule: long non-coding RNA, 254 nt
Organism: Ficedula albicollis (Collared flycatcher)
Lineage: Eukaryota; Metazoa; Chordata; Aves; Passeriformes; Muscicapidae
Exons: 3
Source: RefSeq, a predicted model, not a curated record
GCCCUGGUGGCCCUGGUGGCGCUGGCGGCGCGGAGGCGGCACAAGGAGACGAGAUAUGGCGCCGCGUUCUCUCCCGCCGUUCGUUUCCGUGUGCGCAGCUCCUACGGGCGCCGCUCAGCGCAGGCCACGCUGAACCGUUUGGGGAUCAGCCCUGAGCUCAAGGAGAAGCUCCGGGACGUUCUCGUCGAGCGGCACCGGGUGGCGCUGGGCAAGACGCUGGGCGAGGGUGGGUGCCCCAAAUCCCCCGAAAUCAC